UUUUGUUUGGAGAGUUUGAUCCUGGCUCAGGACGAACGCUGACGGCGUGCUUAACACAUGCAAGUCGAACGGGAUCCAUUAGCGCUUUUGUGUUUUUGGUGAGA
RNAcentral lists this ribosomal RNA (104 nucleotides) under Winkia neuii. RNAcentral describes it as "partial 16S ribosomal RNA". It matches the Rfam family "Bacterial small subunit ribosomal RNA", at positions 1 to 99 of the family's 1533-position model. The record is from RNAcentral. Lineage: Bacteria; Bacillati; Actinomycetota; Actinomycetes; Actinomycetales; Actinomycetaceae.